Molecule: small nucleolar RNA, 141 nt
Organism: Micropterus dolomieu (smallmouth bass)
Lineage: Eukaryota; Metazoa; Chordata; Actinopteri; Centrarchiformes; Centrarchidae
Product: small nucleolar RNA SNORA31
Exons: 1
Source: RefSeq, a predicted model, not a curated record
UUGCAUCCGCUGAUAGACCUGAAGCAGGCUCUUUUGGCUUCUGGGUUUGCAUAGAGAUGCUAAACUAAGUCUUCCUCAUGUUUACUGACUGCUACAUUCUAUAGCAGCUACUGUCUUGUUUUUUAAUUGAGGAAUACAUGU